This 77-nucleotide transfer RNA is filed under the name Alphaproteobacteria bacterium. Its description in RNAcentral is "tRNA-Thr". Lineage: Bacteria; Pseudomonadati; Pseudomonadota; Alphaproteobacteria. The record is from RNAcentral.
AAUUAAAUAGGAUAAAAAUAAUGAACUUACCCUUGGUAAGGGUGGGGUCGAUAGUUCAAUUCUAUUCGGCGGCACCA